Molecule: ribosomal RNA, 253 nt
Filed under: uncultured bacterium
Lineage: Bacteria
Description: partial 16S ribosomal RNA
Rfam family: Bacterial small subunit ribosomal RNA
Source: RNAcentral
UACGGAGGAUCCAAGCGUUAUCCGGAUUUAUUGGGUUUAAAGGGUGCGUAGGCGGCCUAUUAAGUCAGGGGUGAAAGACGGUAGCUCAACUAUCGCAGUGCCUUUGAUACUGAUGGGCUUGAAUCUACUAGAGGCAGGCGGAAUGAGACAAGUAGCGGUGAAAUGCAUAGAUAUGUCUCAGAACACCGAUUGCGAAGGCAGCUUGCUAUGGUAGCAUUGACGCUGAGGCACGAAAGCGUGGGGAUCAAACAGG